Molecule: non-coding RNA, 21 nt
Filed under: Caenorhabditis elegans
Lineage: Eukaryota; Metazoa; Nematoda; Chromadorea; Rhabditida; Rhabditidae
Source: RNAcentral
UAAAAAUCGUGUUUUAAUAGU